Molecule: long non-coding RNA, 491 nt
Filed under: Mytilus galloprovincialis (Mediterranean mussel)
Lineage: Eukaryota; Metazoa; Mollusca; Bivalvia; Mytilida; Mytilidae
Source: RNAcentral
GUUCGGUACACUUAAGAUGUUGUUAUGAUAUGUUUACUUACUGUUCAAAUACAAAUAUUAAAGAAUAUAUAGUAUAUAGUAUUCCAUGAUAAGUAGAUAGAGAAUUGAUAGUAAUAUAUGGAUACUGUGUAUAUAAAAAAUUUGGCUGUGAUGGUUUGCUAUAUGAUAUCAAAUAAAAAAUAAGUUUGAAAAAGAGAAGGAAGGUACCAAUGGAAGAAUAAAAUCUGAUUUGUCAAUCGUAGUCAGAAGAAAUACGAGUGCUAUGAUAUUUUCCGGACAAUAUGAGUAUUUAAGUCAUAGCUUUUGGUCAUGACCAUAUGUGUAUAUUCAAAUGGUCCAAACAUACGCGUUUGGUCAGACCACAUGAGUAUAUUAUACUUGUGGGGUAUAAACAAUCAAGACAUCUUGAAAAAAGAAAAAUAACAAAAAUACCGAAUUCAAAGGAAAAUCUCAAUGGAAAGUCCCAGAUCAAAUGCAAAAUCAAAAGCUCA